Molecule: unclassified non-coding RNA, 400 nt
Filed under: soil metagenome
Description: partial contains 5.8S ribosomal RNA, internal transcribed spacer 2, and large subunit ribosomal RNA
Rfam family: 5.8S ribosomal RNA (bases 1-122)
Source: RNAcentral
GAUGAAGAACGUAGCGAAAUGCGAUACUUGGUGUGAAUUGCAGAAUCCCGUGAACCAUCGAGUCUUUGAACGCAAGUUGCGCCUCAAGCCAUUAGGUUGAGGGCACGUCUGCCUGGGCGUCACAUAUCGUUGCCUGAUGCCAGUUUCCUCGUGAUGGGUGACUGUGCAGGGCGAAUGAUGGCUUCCCGUGAGCAUUGUUGCCUGAUGGUUGGUUGAAAAUUGAGUCCUUGGUAGGGAGCGCCGUGAUAGAUGGUGGUUGAGUGACGAACGAGACCCAAUCAUGUGAGACCCCUACCGAAUUUGGCCUUCAUGACCCACAUGCGUCUUUGGAACGCUCAUGACGAGACCUCAGGUCAGGCGGGGCUACCCGCUGAGUUUAAGCAUAUCAAUAAGCGGAGGA